GCCAGGCAUGGUGGUGCAUGCCUGUAAUCCCAGCUACUCAGGAGGCUAAGGCAGGAGGAUCGCUUGAACCCGGGAGGCAGAGGUUGCAGUGAGCCAAGAUUGCGCCACUGCAUCCCAGCCUGGGCGACAGAGUGAGACUCUGUCUCAA
RNAcentral lists this non-coding RNA (148 nucleotides) under Nomascus leucogenys (northern white-cheeked gibbon). The record is from Rfam by way of RNAcentral. Lineage: Eukaryota; Metazoa; Chordata; Mammalia; Primates; Hylobatidae.